RNAcentral lists this ribosomal RNA (465 nucleotides) under Vreelandella stevensii. RNAcentral describes it as "partial 16S ribosomal RNA". It matches the Rfam family "Bacterial small subunit ribosomal RNA", at positions 338 to 795 of the family's 1533-position model. The record is from RNAcentral. Lineage: Bacteria; Pseudomonadati; Pseudomonadota; Gammaproteobacteria; Oceanospirillales; Halomonadaceae.
CCUACGGGGGGCAGCAGUGGGGAAUAUUGGACAAUGGGCGAAAGCCUGAUCCAGCCAUGCCGCGUGUGUGAAGAAGGCCUUCGGGUUGUAAAGCACUUUCAGUGGGGAAGAAAGCCUUGGGGCUAAUACCCUCGAGGAAGGACAUCACCCACAGAAGAAGCACCGGCUAACUCCGUGCCAGCAGCCGCGGUAAUACGGAGGGUGCGAGCGUUAAUCGGAAUUACUGGGCGUAAAGCGCGCGUAGGCGGUCUGAUAAGCCGGUUGUGAAAGCCCCGGGCUCAACCUGGGAACGGCAUCCGGAACUGUCAGGCUAGAGUGCAGGGGAGGAAGGUAGAAUUCCCGGUGUAGCGGGGAAAUGCGUAGAGAUCGGGAGGAAUACCAGUGGCGAAGGCGGCCUUCUGGACUGACACUGACGCUGAGGUGCGAAAGCGUGGGUAGCAAACAGGAUUAGAUACCCCGGUAGUC